This 18-nucleotide small nuclear RNA is filed under the name Arabidopsis thaliana (thale cress). Its description in RNAcentral is "snRNA_11877". Lineage: Eukaryota; Viridiplantae; Streptophyta; Magnoliopsida; Brassicales; Brassicaceae. The record is from RNAcentral.
GCCGGGGGACGGACUGGG